CAGAGUUGAGUCCUGGGGAGAAGGGGCAAGACUGUGCCACCGAGAUGGGUGGUUUUCCAGACCGGCCACUUCUUAAUUCAAGAAUGCAAACCUGCCCCACUGAUGCCAGAGGCUCAGCGAGGGAUGAUUUUCAGCUGUUUCUUUGCUAAACUCCAGCUGAAUUCAGGUCUCCUGCAAGAGCGACAGCAACAACGCUUCAAAAACAUGAGUAUCAACAAACGUUCCCUGGGACUCUGUUUGGUUGCAGCUCUGUAACGGUCUCAAAUACAUCCUCUUUCUCAAUCCUGGCAUCCACUCCGAGAGGUGGCUUCUGUCCAAGAUGAGUACCAGCCAGUUGUCCUCUCCUGUGGGACAUCUGAACCCAAAUAAUUCACCAGUCACUGCAGUCUGCUGUAUCCACUGCCCCAUUCCACUGGUGCACUGC
Molecule: long non-coding RNA, 424 nt
Organism: Chinchilla lanigera (long-tailed chinchilla)
Lineage: Eukaryota; Metazoa; Chordata; Mammalia; Rodentia; Chinchillidae
Exons: 3
Source: RefSeq, a predicted model, not a curated record